CGUCCCUUCGAGAUCAUCUGAUAAAAUUGAAACAAUACAGACAACAAUAGCAUGCCCCUGCGCAAGGAUGACACACACAAAUCAAAAAAUGGAAAGGAUGUGG
Small nuclear RNA from Lycium barbarum (goji berry), 103 nucleotides. NCBI's taxonomy places the organism in Eukaryota, Viridiplantae, Streptophyta, Magnoliopsida, Solanales, Solanaceae. The record is from RefSeq and is a predicted model, not a curated record.